CUAAAAAAUUCCCAUAAUACAUUCAUGAAGAAGGCAGGUGUUGGAGGUGUGAUCUGUAGGGCAUGCAACCUCUCAAUCCCUUUCCAUGGAUGUCUAUUAGAUUUUGGAACCUGCCGAACAAAACCUGGUCAAUACUGUAUGAAAGAGACCCAUAGUAAAGAUGGAAUUCAAUGGUAUUCAGUUAAAGGUUGCACAGAGAGCAAGAAGGAGUGCUUCCAGAGAACUGUGACACCUAAUGAAGUUCACUCUACUCACUGCUGCUAUCGUUCUAUGUGCAAUUUCUGAGCCAGUGGCCCACAUCUUGGACUGGUCACCCCAAGACAGCAGCUACCAUCAAUCAGUCCUCUGCAAAAGCCUCAGACUUACAGAUUGUAGGAUUUAUGAUCUGAAACCAAUUUUGGCUUUCAAGUGGCCCAUCUUCUCCCCUACCAUCCUCAACUCAUCUCAGAAACAUUCUUCUAACACCAUCUUUCUCCUCUCCUUUUUCUGCUUAUUUUCCCUUCCAAUGAUUUCAAAGCUACAAAGAAGUAAAAAUGUGAGUGACUCUCUGAGACAAAUUGUGCAUAUCAUUUCUAGUUUACUAAUUUUCCUAAACAUUUCCAUACUCCAAAAUACAGGUACAAAUGAAUUGUAUCAUAGGAUACUAAGUGACCUGAAAGUGUUCAUUUAGUUUCCCA
RNAcentral lists this long non-coding RNA (677 nucleotides) under Sus scrofa (pig). Its description in RNAcentral is "lncRNA (ENSSSCG00060054228.1)". The record is from RNAcentral. Lineage: Eukaryota; Metazoa; Chordata; Mammalia; Artiodactyla; Suidae.